RNAcentral lists this ribosomal RNA (311 nucleotides) under uncultured soil bacterium. RNAcentral describes it as "bacterial SSU rRNA". It matches the Rfam family "Bacterial small subunit ribosomal RNA", at positions 26 to 363 of the family's 1533-position model. The record is from RNAcentral.
AGAACGAACGCUGGCGGCAUGCCUAAUACAUGCAAGUCGAACGAAGGCUUCGGCCUUAGUGGCGCACGGGUGCGUAACGCGUGGGAAUCUGCCCCUUGGUUCGGAAUAACAGUUGGAAACGACUGCUAAUACCGGAUGAUGACGAAAGUCCAAAGAUUUAUCGCCAAGGGAUGAGCCCGCGUAGGAUUAGCUAGUUGGUGAGGUAAAGGCUCACCAAGGCGACGAUCCUUAGCUGGUCUGAGAGGAUGAUCAGCCACACGUGGGACUGAGACACGGCCCAGACUCCGUACGGGAGGCAGCAGUAGGGAAUA